AUCCCGCUAACCUCCUCCUAGGGUUCGUCGUCGCCUCCCUUCCCGCUGCAACCCUCCCGUCCACUUCCUCUGGUCGCAACCUCCUCACGUUGUCCUCCACGCCAGGUUUGGGCGGAGGCCGUCCCGCACUCGCCCUCCUCAUGGAGCCGCCGCUGCCGUGCCUCCUCCCCCACGUCCAUCUCCGCACGGGCAGCCUUGCCGCCACCCCCGCCUGGCCUCCUUUCCUUUUUUCUCCCCAUCUCGGCCUGUACCUUCGUCAUCCAUUCCAGGAGGGGGCUGUUGCCUCUGCACACCAUCGCUUCGGUACGUGGGAGGCCGCUGCAGGGCGGGAUCUAGCCGCCGCACCCACAGCUAAGUUUCCUCCCAUCCCCGAUUUCAUUCCUCCAUGUGCUCUCCUCCCAUGGCGGUGCCCUAAUAGCCCAAGGGAUAGCAGCUGGCUCGUCGUGGUUUUUCUCCGACGAGGCUCCUCACGUAUGGCAGCGGCAGACGGCAGUUGGAUUGUACACCAAAUCCAGCAGCUAGCAAGGCUUCUUGAUUUUUGUCCGAGUGCUUCUGAUAUGAUAUCCAGCUUCCAUUUGAAUUUUCAUGAGACACGCUGUGUAGCUAUGACAAUGAGCUAUUUUAAAUUAGUUAUUCUGGAGAAAAUUUCAGUUCAUUAGUGAUUACUUGCAGCAAAUUUAUUCAAAGGUUGGAUGGAUCUCUGAGUUCUGUCCGUCUAAUGGAAGUAUGGAACUUGAAAUUGUGCAGGAUGAGCUCGGGUUUGACAUCGUGCAGGGGCAAGCAAUGUGUUCAAGAAAAUGCUUGUGAAGAAAUAUGAACGUGGUUGUGUCAGGUUAAAAGUAUCUAACUUAUCCAUCUGUCAUUUCAAACUUCUACAGAAUAUCUGGAAGAAAAAAUUUUGAGCUGGCAGAAUUUACGUCUCUUCCAGUAGUUUUUUUUAUUCAACAUGUAAUCCUAAUUUCUUGAAAGCAUGCACAUGUUCUUUUGCAUAUUUCAAUGGAAGCUCCUACUACUACUCCCCCCCCCCCCCCACCCCACCCCCCACCCCACUCGUUGUUUCGUGACUCUUUAUAUUGAUUUUACCUCGCUUCCAGUAGAGGAUUCUCAGUAGUGUUCCCAUUUGUAUCUUCAAGCUUGUAUAAUGGUGAUCUAUGUGUGUGCCCCGCUGUCUAACCAUGGCAUGGGCCGGGCUGAAGCCGGAGCGGGUAGAAGGAGCUCCGCCUCCUUGCCGCCAACGGCAGGAACAACAAGGGAUCAACUUCGACGAGUUUACCUACCGCAGAUAGGAGGGCAAAACUCUGGGAUGGCUCCAAAUGGCAUUAAUAAUAGACAUUCAGAAGUCCAGAACCAAUGAUAGCAUAUUAGGAGCUCUCCUAGCUCAACACCGGGUGCAUGUUAUCUGAUCAGUGAGGGUGAGAAUUAUCAUUGAGGUCUGUGUCAAAGUGUCCACUAAAGGCAAUAUCACCUUAGCUUGUUCCAGGAUCAAGAAAGCUGCAGCUUGUGGGUAUGUGUUCCUUUCUGCAUUUCUGAAGAUUUUUUUUGUAGCAGAAGCUAAUGCACAUUUGGUGAAGUUUAUGGGUCAUGAGAUGGAUGGAUCCAUGGUCAUCAAUAAUCACCGGGUAUCAUCAAAUGUGUUGUUACAUCAGACCGGGCAAGGCCUGUGUCACGGGGAAUUGGGAGGAGACUAGCAGCUUGGUGCCUUCUGUUCUGCCUUCUGCACUUUUAGGAAACUAAUGUUUUUGGAGGCCUGCAAGUGUUUACUUCAAUUUAAGUUACUUCUCGACUAUUAUCUUUAUAGAUUUUUUGAAUCCCAAGAAUAAUUUAUGCCAUAUAAUAAUACGUUCAAGAUAUAACCAAA
This is a long non-coding RNA of Brachypodium distachyon (stiff brome), 1858 nucleotides long. RefSeq lists it as uncharacterized. The record is from RefSeq and is a predicted model, not a curated record. The transcript has 4 exons. Lineage: Eukaryota; Viridiplantae; Streptophyta; Magnoliopsida; Poales; Poaceae.